RNAcentral lists this unclassified non-coding RNA (338 nucleotides) under soil metagenome. RNAcentral's name for it is "partial contains 5.8S ribosomal RNA, internal transcribed spacer 2, and large subunit ribosomal RNA". The stretch from base 1 to 121 matches the Rfam family "5.8S ribosomal RNA", at positions 35 to 154 of the family's 154-position model. The record is from RNAcentral.
GAUGAAGAACGCAGCGAAAUGCGAUAAGUAAUGCGAAUUGCAGAAUUUCCGUGAGUCAUCGAAUCUUUGAACGCACAUUGCGCCCAUUGGCAUUCCGAUGGGCAUGCCUGUUCGAGCGUCAUUUCAACCAUCAAGCCCCCGGGCUUGUGUUGGGGACCUGCGGCUGCCGCAGGCCCUGAAAAGCAGUGGCGGGCUCGCUGUCACACCGAGCGUAGUAGAUUUUAUCUCGCUCUGGGCGUGCUGCGGGUUCCGGCCGUUAAACCACCCUUUUAACCCAAGGUUGACCUCGGAUCAGGUAGGAAGACCCGCUGAACUUAAGCAUAUCAAUAAGCGGAGGA